Molecule: long non-coding RNA, 396 nt
Filed under: Capsicum annuum
Lineage: Eukaryota; Viridiplantae; Streptophyta; Magnoliopsida; Solanales; Solanaceae
Description: long non-coding RNA (CANN_LNC009002)
Source: RNAcentral
AUUUUAGUAAUCAUCUCCCGGGUUUUUAAAGACUGCUCAAUUUUCUUUAUGUGAAUAUCUUGUUUAAGAAAAUUGAUAUGGGAAGAAAGUCGGUUAAUUUUAAAAACAGUUCAUUCUUUAAUAAGGUUACCUUCUUCUUGUGAGAGGGGCCUUAGUAAAGGGAAGAAUAAGUUCUGGUUUAAAAGAGUUGUACGAAUUCCGUCGUAGUCACUCCAGUAAGGUCGAAUCUGGUUGACGAAAGGUAUCCCUAAAAUGAUAUCUUCUGUGAUAUCUUCGGUGAUGACGAAGUCAUUAACAAGGCAAAUGCCAUUGUUACAGACAUGAGCUUUAGGGAGUUGAUAAUGGAUUUCUAUUUUUUCUCCCGUGGCUGAGUAAAGACGAGAGGUACUCUUUNNN